Molecule: ribosomal RNA, 497 nt
Filed under: uncultured bacterium
Lineage: Bacteria
Description: partial 16S ribosomal RNA
Rfam family: Bacterial small subunit ribosomal RNA
Source: RNAcentral
GACGAACGCUGGCGGCGUGCCUAAUACAUGCAAGUAGAACGCUGAAGCGAGGAGCUUGCUCUUCUUGGAUGAGUUGCGAACGGGUGAGUAACGCGUAGGUAACCUGCCUUGUAGCGGGGGAUAACUAUUGGAAACGAUAGCUAAUACCGCAUAACAAUGGAUGACACAUGUCAUUUAUUUGAAAGGGGCAAUUGCUCCACUACAAGAUGGACCUGCGUUGUAUUAGCUAGUAGGUGAGGUAGUGGCUCACCUAGGCGACGAUACAUAGCCGACCUGAGAGGGUGAUCGGCCACACUGGGACUGAGACACGGCCCAGACUCCUACGGGAGGCAGCAGUAGGGAAUCUUCGGCAAUGGGGGCAACCCUGACCGAGCAACGCCGCGUGAGUGAAGAAGGGUUUCGGAUCGUAAAGCUCUGUUGUAAGUCAAGAACGGGUGUGAGAGUGGAAAGUUCACACUGUGACGGUAGCUUACCAGAAAGGGACGGCUAACUACGUG